GGUCAGGACGAACGCUGGCGGCAUGCCUAACACAUGCAAGUCGAACGGAGCAAAGGGGGCUUGCCCUCUUGCUUAGUGGCGGACGGGCGAGUAACGCGUGAGCAACCUGCCCCUCAGAGGGGAAUAACGUCCGGAAACGGACGCUAAUACCGCAUAACGCAGCGGGAGCGCAUGCUUCUGCUGCCAAAGGAGCAAUCCGCUGAGGGAUGGGCUCGCGUCCGAUUAGCUGGUUGGCGGGGUAACGGCCCACCAAGGCGACGAUCGGUAGCCGAACUGAGAGGUUGAUCGGCCGCAUUGGGACUGAGACACGGCCCAGACUCCUACGGGAGGCAGCAGUGGGGGAUAUUGCACAAUGGAGGAAACUCUGAUGCAGCAAUGCCGCGUGAGGGAAGACGGUCUUCGGAUUGUAAACCUAAGUAGACAGGAACGAUAAUGACGGUACCUGUAAAGUAAGCUCCGGCUAACUACGUGCCAGCAGCCGC
This 482-nucleotide ribosomal RNA is filed under the name uncultured bacterium. Its description in RNAcentral is "bacterial SSU rRNA". It matches the Rfam family "Bacterial small subunit ribosomal RNA", at positions 22 to 518 of the family's 1533-position model. The record is from RNAcentral.